This 1817-nucleotide long non-coding RNA is filed under the name Malus domestica (apple). RNAcentral describes it as "long non-coding RNA (MDOM_LNC017113)". Lineage: Eukaryota; Viridiplantae; Streptophyta; Magnoliopsida; Rosales; Rosaceae. The record is from RNAcentral.
UUGUUAAAGGAGUGGGUUUUGGACUUAAUUACAAGUUUGCCACUCCAAUGAAUAAAGGUAUGAAUAUGACUUUAUAGCCAAAAUUCAUUUAGGGUUUUCUUUUGGGGAAAGGAUGAGAACAUAAGCUCUCAUUUCUCUCUAAGGUGGCCGGCCUCCUUGGAGGGUUUAGCUAGCAAUCCUACUACUCCAAGGUCACUCAUUUCUUCUCCAAUCUAACCUUGGUGAAGAGACUUAAAGGUUCUCAAUUUUUGGGAACUUGGAGAACCAUUUCAUCCAUCCAAAUCCAUAGAUCUAAGAUGCAAGGAAUGAAGGCCCUCUCUUUGGGUGAUUAGCCUUUGCUUAUGCAAAGAGGAAUCUACAAAGGUAUAAUUUCUCAACUAACAAAUGUUGUUUUUAGUUGAGUCAAGGUUCACCAAUCUACUAGGCUUUGAAUUUCAUGGUUAAUGUUUUGUUUUAAGUGCAUACAAGCAUGAUUCCGCCUUUUAAUUGUUAAUUGCAUGCUAUAAAUGUUGCUUAAAUGAACAUGUUUUUCACAAAAUUUCCUUCAAGUGGUAUCAGAGCCUAGGUCUAGUAGUUGGUGAAUCCUUUUGGGUUUUGUAUUAUCAUAGUUUAUGAUUUGAAUGUUGUAAUUGUUACAAGCUUUAUUCUUGCUUCUUUGAAUGUAAAUUUUGUUAGAAAAUUUUCCAUCUCAAAUGUUGUAGAUGUAGUUCAUAUGAGCAUGAAUAUUGGAGCUAAAAUUUGGUGUCAUGUUUUUGGGAAUUUUCGGCCAAAUCCAAAGGGUGGAUUUUUGGGUUCUUGUUUGACUUGUUAAAAGUGUUUUCAAGUAACUUUUGGAACCCCUAUGUACCCUAGUUUGGUUAUAUGUUAUUUCCCUUAAGUUUGAAUGGUUUUGGGAUGUUUUUGGGUGAAAAAUGUUCAUGGAAAUUUUUUGAGUUUUUCAUGAAUGUUCUUCAUUGUUCUUGACAUUUUUGCCAAGAACAAAAAGUUUGGUGUUUUGAUUCAAAGUUUUGAUUUAUGUCAUAAAGUUUAUGUUUUAUAUUUUUCAAAUGUUUAAAUGUGUUAAAUAUUUAUUUAGAAAGGUGUCAAAAAUAUUGGUGGGUGUGUAAGGAUUAAUUCCCUUUCACACACACCACUUGCAUGACAUUUAUGUCAUGCACCACUUGCAUGACUUUAUGUCUAAAACUACAAAUCAACACACACAUCACUCCCUUCUCUCCAAAACCGGCCACCCUACAAGUGGGGUGUUUUUGAGGCUUUUAUGCAAUUACAUAAAGUUUUGGUACUUUUGUGUAAUUUGUAGUUUCACCCAAAAGUUUACGUAUUUACGUAAAUGCCCAAAAUCAUUAAAGGACAAAUUGUUUUGUUCCUUUAAUGAAGUUUUUGAAUUUGUUGAAAUUUUUUGGUUCUAGUUGUAAUUACAUGAAGUAGUGGACUUUUGUGUUUUUACAAAGUGACCCUAAAAGUUUAUGUUUUUGCAACAUAGCCCAAAAAGUUGAGGUUAUUGCAUUUUGGCCCAAAUUAGGUUGAGAACAAAAUGGUUUUGUCUCUUUAAAUGAGAAUUUGAUUUUCAUUUCAUUUAGCUCCAUUUAAAUCAAUUUUAUGGAUACAAAAACCAAAUGAAAAUGUUGCAUUCAAUUUAAUUAGUUAAAGUGUUAAUUAAUUAAAGGGUGAUUAUGAACCUAAGCCUACUAUAAUUGAGCUAUGUGAAAGGCCAUUUCAAAUUUGUUUGAACCAUGGGAAUGAGUAGAUUAGAUUUUGGUUGUAAUUUGAUUUGAUCAAAUGUUGUAAAAGAGCAUAAGCUCUUCUUUACUUUAAAG